Molecule: ribosomal RNA, 531 nt
Filed under: Triticum aestivum (bread wheat)
Lineage: Eukaryota; Viridiplantae; Streptophyta; Magnoliopsida; Poales; Poaceae
Description: partial small subunit ribosomal RNA
Source: RNAcentral
AUGGGCGACGAGCGCGUGAAGGCGGAGGCGCUGCAGAUCCUGGGCCUGUUCCAGGUGCUCCCCCGCCUCGUCGUCUUCGACCUCGACUACACCCUGUGGCCCUUCUACUGCGAGUGCCGCUCCAAGAGGGAGUCGCCCAGCCUGUACCGCCACGCCAAGGGCAUCAUGUGCGCGCUCAAGGAGAAGGGGGUCGACAUGGCCAUUGCGUCGCGCUCGCCCACCUCCGAUAUCGCCAGGGUCUUCAUUGACAAGCUCGAGCUCCAGCCCAUGUUCGUCGCACAGGAAAUAUUCUCCAGCUGGACUCACAAGACGGAGCAUUUCCAAAAGAUCCACAGAAAAACUGGGGUUCCGUACAAGUCCAUGCUGUUCUUUGACGACGAGGACAGGAAUAUUCAAUCGGUAUCGAAAAUGGGAGUUACAAGUGUUCUAGUAAACAACGGAUUGAAUCUCGACAUGUUUAAGUUGGGCCUCAGUAAUUUCGCUACUACUGUUGCUGCACCUGAACCCACACCUGCACCAGAGGACAAGUAA